Molecule: non-coding RNA, 133 nt
Organism: Nothoprocta perdicaria
Lineage: Eukaryota; Metazoa; Chordata; Aves; Tinamiformes; Tinamidae
Source: Ensembl
GUCUCCUCCCAUGGUAGUGGUGCAGGGAAGCUUUCCCCUUGCAGCCAGUGGGCGAGACRGAACAAAAGCUAGAGGAAAGUCGUCGUGGCUGCCAGGAGCUCGUGGCUGCCAUGUUUUCCUGCCUCUUACACUG